AUACGGAGGGUGCAAGCGUUGUUCGGAAUUACUGGGCGUAAAGCGCGCGUAGGCGGUUCGUAUAGUCAGGCGUGAAAGCCCCGGGCUCAACCUGGGAACUGCGUUUGAUACUGACGAGCUAGAGUCCGGGAGAGGGUAGCGGAAUUCCCAGUGUAGAGGUGAAAUUCGUAGAUAUUGGGAAGAACACCAGUUGCGAAGGCGGCCACCUGGACCGGUACUGACGCUGAGGUGCGAAAGCGUGGGGAGCAAACAGGAUUAGAAACCCCAGUAGUCC
Molecule: ribosomal RNA, 274 nt
Filed under: uncultured bacterium
Lineage: Bacteria
Description: partial 16S ribosomal RNA
Rfam family: Bacterial small subunit ribosomal RNA
Source: RNAcentral